Molecule: ribosomal RNA, 253 nt
Filed under: uncultured bacterium
Lineage: Bacteria
Description: partial 16S ribosomal RNA
Rfam family: Bacterial small subunit ribosomal RNA
Source: RNAcentral
UACGUAGGGGGCAAGCGUUGUCCGGAAUUAUUGGGCGUAAAGAGCGUGUAGGCGGUCCGGUAAGUCAGCUGUGAAAGUCAAGGGCUCAACCCUUGAAAGCCGGUUGAUACUGUCGGGCUAGAGUCCGGAAGGGGCGAGUGGAAUUCCCGGUGUAGCGGUGAAAUGCGCAGAUAUCAGGAAGAACACCAACGGCGAAGGCAGCUCGCUGGGACGGUACUGACGCUGAGACGCGAAAGCGUGGGGAGCGAACAGG